AGGGAUCUGCCCAGUAGUGGGGGACAACAGUUGGAAACGACUGCUAAUACCGCAUACGCUCUACGGAGGAAAGCGGGGGACCUUUCGGGGCCUCGUGCUAUUGGAUGAACCUAUAUCAGAUUAGCUAGUUGGUGAGGUAACGGCUCACCAAGGCUGCGAUGGUUAGCUGGUCUGAGAGGAUGAUCAGCCACACUGGGACUGACACACGGCCCAGACUCCUACGGGAGGCAGCAGUAGGGAAUAUUGCGCAAUGGGGGAAACCCUGACGCAGCAACGCCGCGUGGGUGAAGAAGGCUUUCGAGUUGUAAAGCCCUGUCAGGAGGGAAGAAAUGUUUGUCGGAACAAUACCCGGCAGGCUUGACGGUACCUCCAGAGGAAGCACCGGCCAACUCCGUGCCAGCAGCCGCGGUAAUACGGAGGGUGCAAGCGUUGUUCGGAUUUACUGGGCGUAAAGCGCGUGUAGGCGGCUCGUUAGGUCAGAUGUGAAAUCCCUUGGCUCAACCGAGGAAGUGCAUUUGAAACCGGCGGGCUUGAGUACGGGAGAGGGAAGCAGAAUUCCUAGUGUAGAGGUGAAAUUCGUAGAUAUUAGGAGGAAUACCCGUGGCGAAGGCGGCUUCCUGGACCGAUACUGACGCUGAGACGCGAAAGCGUG
Molecule: ribosomal RNA, 652 nt
Filed under: uncultured delta proteobacterium
Lineage: Bacteria; Deltaproteobacteria
Description: bacterial SSU rRNA
Rfam family: Bacterial small subunit ribosomal RNA
Source: RNAcentral